Molecule: long non-coding RNA, 507 nt
Organism: Rhipicephalus microplus (southern cattle tick)
Lineage: Eukaryota; Metazoa; Arthropoda; Arachnida; Ixodida; Ixodidae
Source: RefSeq, a predicted model, not a curated record
CAUAGGUAGGCUCAUUGGAGAGCACAAUAUUCUAAAUGUUUGCUAACCUGAGUGAUCACUUUUAUUUUGUGGCAAAUUGAGGUGCUUUGAAAUGUACGCAAGGACUCACUUUUUCGAAAACCUGUAGAAUGCAUCAUUGCGAGAACAUCAGUUUUAGGAGCGGUCACUUUUCUCUUCGUACUGUUCCUAGAACAGAACAUUGCCAUGACGCAUGGAGUGCGUACUGCCGCAAGCCUUCACAUACACUGUCGUGCAUGAAAACUCGAGCACCUACUACAUGCGACUGUCGAUGCACCCUUUCUAGGCUUCAGUGAAGCAGAAGUGUUGCAUUAAGUAAUAUUGUACGCUCUGCACCUUAAAAUUGAGAUAAUAUCGCAAGAACCUUUGGUGUAUGAGCUCACUGCUACGUUUGCUUGAUGCAAUCACUGUCAACACAAUCGAAAUGACGAAGGAUAACGCAUCGCUCUAGAAGAAACCGCGACAUUUUCAAUGAAUAAAAGGCCUCUC